UGUACAGCUGAAAAUAAUAUAACGUUGUGUGUCAACUACACACAAUGGCUCCAUCAAGUGGCAGUUUCUUCAGCUUGGUGCUAGAGACUUUCAGCCUCAGCCCGUCCGUCCCCUCCCUAGAAGUUUGAAAGUCUUUAUGAUCAGAAACUUCUUUCAGUCAUUAUUGCUGUGGCCUAUGUCUACGAUCCUUUAUCCUGAGUUCAUCCUUCAGACUAUUUUCUGAGGAGUUGCCUUGUGAAUGGGCCCAAUGACUCAUACAUGGAUGAAGGAUAAUGCUUGAGACCCUGAGAAACUAUCAAGUGCUCGUUUACCACAGCUUCUUUUACACCUGACCUGUCUUCCCAGGAACAAUUCUAAUUGGAUACUAGAGAAGAAUGGGAAAGGAACAUAUAACCUACACUGAGGUAUUAAAAAUCAACGGGACAUAACCAAGUGUCUUGAAAUGAUUGUCCAAAAUACACCGAUCUGUCUCUUCUCCGGUAGUCAGCCCUUCUCAAUAUAUGGCACUGGUAUCUACCAGGUUCCUCAAGCUAAAAACCACACUGACAUCCUUGGCUCCUCUCUUCCCUUACUCCCAAAUUCAGUCUGUCAGCACGUCUCGUUGGCUCUGCCUCUAAACGAUUCCUUCAUUCCUCUGCUACUUUUCCUUCCCACAGCUGUCCACUGGUCCAAGCCCCGUCAUUUUGCACACGAACAACACAAUGACUCCUAACCAGUUCUCUGCUCUUGACCUUCA
Long non-coding RNA from Felis catus (domestic cat), 736 nucleotides. RefSeq lists it as uncharacterized. NCBI's taxonomy places the organism in Eukaryota, Metazoa, Chordata, Mammalia, Carnivora, Felidae. The record is from RefSeq and is a predicted model, not a curated record. The transcript is spliced from 3 exons.